This is a non-coding RNA of Fukomys damarensis (Damara mole-rat), 202 nucleotides long. The record is from Rfam. Lineage: Eukaryota; Metazoa; Chordata; Mammalia; Rodentia; Bathyergidae.
UUUUGGCCUUAGAAAGCCCAAGAGUUACAGCAGGCUGAAAAUCAAUUGUUUUAGACAUGCAAAUUACGGUGUCUCUAAGAAGCAAAAUAAAAAUGGUAUAUAGUCAGUGGUUAAAGCCAAAUAAUAGAAUCAAUUUUCUUGCAUUUGAAUCCAGGAUCUGAUUGCAUGAUCUUGAGAAGUUUAUUUAAAUUUGUCAAACCUG